AUUAGGCAAAUCCGGUACUCAUUAAGGCUGAGCUGUGAUGGGGAGAAGACAUUGUGUCUUCGAGUCGUUGAUUUCACACUGCCGAGAAAAGCCUCUAGAUAGAAAAUAGGUGCCCGUACCGCAAACCGACACAGGUAGUCAAGAUGAGAAUUCUAAGGUGAGCGAGCGAACUCUCGUUAAGGAACUCGGCAAAAUGACCCCGUAACUUCGGGAGAAGGGGUGCUCUUUAGGGUUAACGCCCAGAAGAGCCGCAGUGAAUAGGCCCAAGCGACUGUUUAUCAAAAACACAGGUCUCUGCUAAACCGUAAGGUGAUGUAUAGGGGCUGACGCCUGCCCGGUGCUGGAAGGUUAAGAGGAGUGGUUAGCUUCUGCGAAGCUACGAAUCGAAGCCCCAGUAAACGGCGGCCGUAACUAUAACGGUCCUAAGGUAGCGAAAUUCCUUGUCGGGUAAGUUCCGACCCGCACGAAAGGCGUAACGAUUUGGGCACUGUCUCAACGAGAGACUCGGUGAAAUCAUAGUACCUGUGAAGAUGCAGGUUACCCGCGACAGGACGGAAAGACCCCGUGGAGCUUUACUGUAGCCUGAUAUUGAAAUUCGGCACAGCUUGUACAGGAUAGGUAGGAGCCUUUGAAACGUGAGCGCUAGCUUACGUGGAGGCGCUGGUGGGAUACUACCCUAGCUGUGUUGGCUUUCUAACCCGCACCACUUAUCGUGGUGGGAGACAGUGUCAGGCGGGCAGUUUGACUGGGGCGGUCGCCUCCUAAAAGGUAACGGAGGCGCUCAAAGGUUCCCUCAGAAUGGUUGGAAAUCAUUCAUAGAGUGUAAAGGCAUAAGGGAGCUUGACUGCGAGACCUACAAGUCGAGCAGGGUCGAAAGACGGACUUAGUGAUCCGGUGGUUCCGCAUGGAAGGGCCAUCGCUCAACGGAUAAAAGCUACCCCGGGGAUAACAGGCUUAUCUCCCCCAAGAGUUCACAUCGACGGGGAGGUUUGGCACCUCGAUGUCGGCUCAUCGCAUCCUGGGGCUGUAGUCGGUCCCAAGGGUUGGGCUGUUCGCCCAUUAAAGCGGUACGCGAGCUGGGUUCAGAACGUCGUGAGACAGUUCGGUCCCUAUCCGUCGUGGGCGUAGGAAAUUUGAGAGGAGCUGUCCUUAGUACGAGAGGACCGGGAUGGACAUACCUCUGGUGUACCAGUUGUCGUGCCAACGGCAUAGCUGGGUAGCUAUGUGUGGACGGGAUAAGUGCUGAAAGCAUCUAAGCAUGAAGCCCCCCUCAAGAUGAGAUUUCCCAACUUCGGUUAUAAGAUCCCUCAAAGAUGAUGAGGUUAAUAGGUUCGAGGUGGAAGCAUGGUGACAUGUGGAGCUGACGAAUACUAAUCGAUCGAAGACUUAAUCAAA
Molecule: ribosomal RNA, 1395 nt
Filed under: Staphylococcus aureus
Lineage: Bacteria; Bacillati; Bacillota; Bacilli; Caryophanales; Staphylococcaceae
Description: partial 23S ribosomal RNA
Rfam family: Bacterial large subunit ribosomal RNA
Source: RNAcentral